Melospiza melodia melodia is the source of this 1723-nucleotide long non-coding RNA. RefSeq lists it as uncharacterized. The record is from RefSeq and is a predicted model, not a curated record. The transcript has 2 exons. Lineage: Eukaryota; Metazoa; Chordata; Aves; Passeriformes; Passerellidae.
AGGGUUUCUUUCCAAAUGAAUUUAGAGAUAAAUUCAUUUUCUUUGCCAAUACCUAUAAAAAUGAAAACCUUGAACGAUUUUAGUAUUCUACACCCAUCCCUCCCUGUGAAAUUUAUGGCAGUUUUGGGUCCCUCUGGGAGACGACAUCCAGCAUGUCAUGCUGGACUGUUCUAGAGAGUAAUUUUCAAAUGUAAGCUUAGCAAAGUUUGAAUUGACUUGAACAGAGAUAAAAACUACAAGUGAACACCUACACCUGCCUACAAAGAGCUAACAAGCCCCUGGCAGCUGCCAGCAUCAAAGCACAGCGGAUGUCUCUAAUACAGGUCUCUGUAUCUUCUUGGACAGCACCGAGCUCGAGGACAAGGAUACGAGAGUCUUUCCCUGCCGGACGGAGAGAACCAGGAAAAAAGUUAAAAUAAGAACAGGGCAGUUUGAAAUUCAUACUUGCAACGAGAGGCAGCGCCUAACCAACAGAACAAAAGUAAACGAAGCAUGAUACCUCCCUGGGGACAGAAGACUUACAAACUCUCCAGGAUUUACAAUUCUAGCGACCAACCCCUUCAGGACAGCAGCCAAGUGUCCCAUGGGGUGGUGCUGCACCAAAGAACCAUCUGAGAGGUUCCAAAGAGUGAAAUGCACAAUAUUUUGCAAAGACAAAAAAUCCUGCAAAAUAACAAAAAUACAAUAGAUGUAAACUACAGGGCAAGAGUACAAGUGUUACCUUUGGCAGCUGGAACCAUCCAGGUGAGCACCUGAUAACUGGAUCCUCACCAGAGUUUGAACCCUUCAGGACACAGAAGGGUUUUCCCCAGAAAUUUCACAAACUGAGUUUUGACAGAAGCACGCUCGCCGGAUCCUCAGAAACGUCACCCAUUCUCCAGGUGUCUGGAGAGAACUGCAAAUGGCUCUCACGUAGUUGGAGCUGGUUCUAUAAGGUCUCAGGGUGAAUUUCACCAGAUGCAACUGAAUUGGGCAACUCCCAGUGAGACAGAAGGAACCCAAAGCUUGUUUUACCCAAACCUUGGGUAAGCACAGCUCCAGCAAAUACUGAGGAAACAGACAUAACAGGGUAAAAAUAAUAAAACUAUUGCUUUUUCUUUAAUCUUGCCUUUUUUUUUUUUAUUCAGAUGAGCAAAACAAUGAAGGAGAAGGUGAAAAACUCACCAUUACUGAACAUUUCAUCAUCUGUAAGCUGAGCAUCCUUAGCAUAGAGGACUCCAGAGUUAAAAUUCACUGAUCCCUGGGAAAUAAAACCAAAUAUAUGACAAACAGUCAAACAGAAGGCAUAAAAAUUUGUUUCCUCUACGGACUUUCAAGUAUGUAUCUUUGUAUAUAUCCUACACAUUACAACAUACACUUUAUACCAUCUCCUAAUAUAUAAUAAUUUACCUUUAAACUUUGAUAGUAUAGUGUGGAGAAAUGGCUCCAUGACAGAGGUCACGCAGACAUUCGCUCGUUAGUCGACCAGGAGCUGGGAAAGUACCGAACACAGGUAUUUUUGAGUUUUGCACCUGCAAGAUAGCGUGUGCCUGGGCCUAGCUGGGUAGGAUAACAAGUAGACAGAGAGACGUGGGAAAUAGGGAAUGUAGGCCCAAAGGAAUGAGGAAGAGUUGAUGGUAUAGUUUAACCAAUAGAUCGCUUGGCUUACAGAAUAUUCAUAAGCUUAUUAUGUGCUAUAUAAGUGUCUGAUACUCUCUGCAAUAAACAUAGCUUGCUGAUCUCA